Molecule: ribosomal RNA, 2515 nt
Filed under: Escherichia coli
Lineage: Bacteria; Pseudomonadati; Pseudomonadota; Gammaproteobacteria; Enterobacterales; Enterobacteriaceae
Description: bacterial LSU rRNA
Rfam family: Bacterial large subunit ribosomal RNA
Source: RNAcentral
GCCUGAAUCAGUGUGUGUGUUAGUGGAAGCGUCUGGAAAGGCGCGCGAUACAGGGUGACAGCCCCGUACACAAAAAUGCACAUGCUGUGAGCUCGAUGAGUAGGGCGGGACACGUGGUAUCCUGUCUGAAUAUGGGGGGACCAUCCUCCAAGGCUAAAUACUCCUGACUGACCGAUAGUGAACCAGUACCGUGAGGGAAAGGCGAAAAGAACCCCGGCGAGGGGAGUGAAAAAGAACCUGAAACCGUGUACGUACAAGCAGUGGGAGCACAGAGCAAUCUGUGUGACUGCGUACCUUUUGUAUAAUGGGUCAGCGACUUAUAUUCUGUAGCAAGGUUAACCGAAUAGGGGAGCCGAAGGGAAACCGAGUCUUAACCGGGCGUUAAGUUGCAGGGUAUAGACCCGAAACCCGGUGAUCUAGCCAUGGGCAGGUUGAAGGUUGGGUAACACUAACUGGAGGACCGAACCGACUAAUGUUGAAAAAUUAGCGGAUGACUUGUGGCUGGGGGUGAAAGGCCAAUCAAACCGGGAGAUAGCUGGUUCUCCCCGAAAGCUAUUUAGGUAGCGCCUCGUGAAUUCAUCUCCGGGGGUAGAGCACUGUUUCGGCAAGGGGGUCAUCCCGACUUACCAACCCGAUGCAAACUGCGAAUACCGGAGAAUGUUAUCACGGGAGACACACGGCGGGUGCUAACGUCCGUCGUGAAGAGGGAAACAACCCAGACCGCCAGCUAAGGUCCCAAAGUCAUGGUUAAGUGGGAAACGAUGUGGGAAGGCCCAGACAGCCAGGAUGUUGGCUUAGAAGCAGCCAUCAUUUAAAGAAAGCGUAAUAGCUCACUGGUCGAGUCGGCCUGCGCGGAAGAUGUAACGGGGCUAAACCAUGCACCGAAGCUGCGGCAGCGACACUGUGUGUUGUUGGGUAGGGGAGCGUUCUGUAAGCCUGUGAAGGUGUGCUGUGAGGCAUGCUGGAGGUAUCAGAAGUGCGAAUGCUGACAUAAGUAACGAUAAAGCGGGUGAAAAGCCCGCUCGCCGGAAGACCAAGGGUUCCUGUCCAACGUUAAUCGGGGCAGGGUGAGUCGACCCCUAAGGCGAGGCCGAAAGGCGUAGUCGAUGGGAAACAGGUUAAUAUUCCUGUACUUGGUGUUACUGCGAAGGGGGGACGGAGAAGGCUAUGUUGGCCGGGCGACGGUUGUCCCGGUUUAAGCGUGUAGGCUGGUUUUCCAGGCAAAUCCGGAAAAUCAAGGCUGAGGCGUGAUGACGAGGCACUACGGUGCUGAAGCAACAAAUGCCCUGCUUCCAGGAAAAGCCUCUAAGCAUCAGGUAACAUCAAAUCGUACCCCAAACCGACACAGGUGGUCAGGUAGAGAAUACCAAGGCGCUUGAGAGAACUCGGGUGAAGGAACUAGGCAAAAUGGUGCCGUAACUUCGGGAGAAGGCACGCUGAUAUGUAGGUGAAGUCCCUCGCGGAUGGAGCUGAAAUCAGUCGAAGAUACCAGCUGGCUGCAACUGUUUAUUAAAAACACAGCACUGUGCAAACACGAAAGUGGACGUAUACGGUGUGACGCCUGCCCGGUGCCGGAAGGUUAAUUGAUGGGGUCAGCGCAAGCGAAGCUCUUGAUCGAAGCCCCGGUAAACGGCGGCCGUAACUAUAACGGUCCUAAGGUAGCGAAAUUCCUUGUCGGGUAAGUUCCGACCUGCACGAAUGGCGUAAUGAUGGCCAGGCUGUCUCCACCCGAGACUCAGUGAAAUUGAACUCGCUGUGAAGAUGCAGUGUACCCGCGGCAAGACGGAAAGACCCCGUGAACCUUUACUAUAGCUUGACACUGAACAUUGAGCCUUGAUGUGUAGGAUAGGUGGGAGGCUUUGAAGUGUGGACGCCAGUCUGCAUGGAGCCGACCUUGAAAUACCACCCUUUAAUGUUUGAUGUUCUAACGUGGACCCGUGAUCCGGGUUGCGGACAGUGUCUGGUGGGUAGUUUGACUGGGGCGGUCUCCUCCUAAAGAGUAACGGAGGAGCACGAAGGUUGGCUAAUCCUGGUCGGACAUCAGGAGGUUAGUGCAAUGGCAUAAGCCAGCUUGACUGCGAGCGUGACGGCGCGAGCAGGUGCGAAAGCAGGUCAUAGUGAUCCGGUGGUUCUGAAUGGAAGGGCCAUCGCUCAACGGAUAAAAGGUACUCCGGGGAUAACAGGCUGAUACCGCCCAAGAGUUCAUAUCGACGGCGGUGUUUGGCACCUCGAUGUCGGCUCAUCACAUCCUGGGGCUGAAGUAGGUCCCAAGGGUAUGGCUGUUCGCCAUUUAAAGUGGUACGCGAGCUGGGUUUAGAACGUCGUGAGACAGUUCGGUCCCUAUCUGCCGUGGGCGCUGGAGAACUGAGGGGGGCUGCUCCUAGUACGAGAGGACCGGAGUGGACGCAUCACUGGUGUUCGGGUUGUCAUGCCAAUGGCACUGCCCGGUAGCUAAAUGCGGAAGAGAUAAGUGCUGAAAGCAUCUAAGCACGAAACUUGCCCCGAGAUGAGUUCU